Molecule: ribosomal RNA, 443 nt
Filed under: Escherichia fergusonii
Lineage: Bacteria; Pseudomonadati; Pseudomonadota; Gammaproteobacteria; Enterobacterales; Enterobacteriaceae
Description: bacterial SSU rRNA
Rfam family: Bacterial small subunit ribosomal RNA
Source: RNAcentral
ACAGGAAGAAGCUUGCUUCUUUGCUGCGAGUGGCGGACGGGUGAUUAAUGUCUGGGAAACUGCCUGAUGGAGGGGGAUAACUACUGGAAACGGUAGCUAAUACCGCAUAACGUCGCAUGACCAAAGAGGGGGACCUUCGGGCCUCUUGCCAUCGGAUGUGCCCAGAUGGGAUUAGCUAGUAGGUGGGGUAACGGCUCACCUAGGCGACGAUCCCUAGCUGGUCUGAGAGGAUGACCAGCCACACUGGAACUGAGACACGGUCCAGACUCCUACGGGAGGCAGCAGUGGGGAAUAUUGCACAAUGGGCGCAAGCCUGAUGCAGCCAUGCCGCGUGUAUGAAGAAGGCCUUCCGGGUUGUAAGUACUUUCAGCGGGAGGAAGGGAGUAAGUAAUACCUUUGCUAUUGACGUACCCGAGAAGAAGCACCGCUAACUCGUGCAGCAG